AUAAGAACAUCAGCCAAUUUAAGUUUUUUGGACUGAAAUGUUGUAAAUAUUUGUAACAUAAACCACAGACAAUUAAAACAAACCCACUCAACCGGAUUCAAAUGUUUAACAACACUAUAUAACCAAGUCCAAUUCAUUGAUACCGACAUAAUUCAUCGAGAAAGAUGAAAUUUUCACAAUAAGCAAACCCUAACACUGAACAUCGAUACAAACCCUAAACCCCCAAAUCUAAGAGCUGGUAAAUUUGGUUACAGCUUUCGUCCCCUCGGAAACGGCGUGCUUUGCCAACUCCCCGGGCAAAACCAAUCUCACCGCCGUCUGAAUUUCCCUGGAUGUGAUCGUCGGCUUCUUGUUGUACCUCGCAAGCUUCGAAGAUUCCUGAGCAAGCUUCUCGAAGAUGUCGUUGAUGAACGAGUUCAUGAUCCCCAUGGCCUUGCUUGAGAUACCGAUGUCAGGGUGAACCUGUUUCAGCACCUUGAAGAUGUAGAUCUUGUAUGUCUCCACACUCUUCUUGUUUCUCUUCUUCUUCUUGUCAACAGCACCGGCGCCGGCCUCCUUGGGGAGCUUCUUCCCGGCCUUUGGCUUCUUCUCAGCAGGGGCUUUCUCAGCUGGUUUCUUCUCCUCCACUGGCUUCUUCUCAGCCGGCUUCUUCUCUGCCUUUGGCGCCAUUGUAGGGAUUUUAGUUUGUAAAGAAAGAGUGAUGUUCUAAAAACAGAGAGAUGAUUGUUGUUCGUUGUGAUAAGGAAUGGAGGGAGAGUUGUGUUUAUAUACGGAAUGUGAGGCGUGAUCUGAUUGGAUGAUUUUUGUUGACGAGGAUCGUGGAUUAUGGCCGUUGAUUUCUUUUGAGUAGUUUCAGCGGACAGGAUUUAGUUUUCUAAAAGUGAGGUUGAUGCUGGUUUUGACGCGGAUCGACGUACUGGACGCUGAUGAAUUUAAGGAAGAGUAAAUUACAAUGUAGGUCCAUGUGUUUUACAUAAUUUAUUUAUUAGGUAUGAGAUUUAUAUAAUGUGUUUUACAUAAUUUAUUUAUUAGGUAUGAGAUUUAUAUAUUAUAUGGGUUUGUUUAAAGUAAUAUUAAAUAAAAAAUUCUAAGUUUGUGUUUAGUUAAGAAAAACUGUUUUUAUUUUUCGUUUUUCGUUUUUAGUUUCUGGUUUUUAUUGGAAAAUUUAGAAAACAUGUUUAGUUAAAACUUAUUCAUUUUUUAUUUUCAAAUUUAGAAAAUUAGAAAACGUGUUUAGAUGUGUAUUUUUCUAUCGGUUUUCAUUUUUAGAAAACGGUAGCGNNNNNNNNNNNNNNNNNNNNNNNNNNNNNNNNNNNNNNNNNNNNNNNNNNNNNNNNNNNNNNNNNNNNNNNNNNNNNNNNNNNNNNNNNNNNNNNNNNNNNNNNNNNNNNNNNNNNNNNUGGUGGUGGCGGCGACAAUUGUGGCAGUGGUGCUGAUGGCGGCGACGGUGGUGGUGUAACGGGGUAGUGAUAGGGUAGUAGUAGUGGUAAUGGUGCUGGUAAUGGUAGGUCAGUGAUUGUGGUAGUGGUGUUGGGUGGUUGUAUGUGUAUGGGUGUGGGUCGGAGGUAGGUGUGGGUUUGAGUUUGUGGGUGUGUGUUUGUAGGAGUUGGUGUGUGUGUUUGUGUGUGUGUGUGUGUUUAUGGAGGUUGGUGUGUGUGUGUUUUUAUGGAGGUUGGUGUGUGUGUGUGGAGGUUGGGUCCAUGAAAAUUUUAGAAAAAAUGGACGAACUAAACGCGUUUUUCAAAAUUCUCAUUUUUUUGAAAUUUUUCCGGAAAACGGGUCAUUUUUCCGCAACAAAACACACCCUAUACAUUUAGGGUUUGGUCAAGUUGUGGAGUUUGGAGGCCAUGGAGGGGUAAAAUUGUAUUUUACCCUCUUGGGGUCUAGUAAAGAGACUUAGCCAACAUCUUUGAGGUUUGUUGAUAUCGAUUCUAAUUAGAGAUAUAUGUAACAUAUGUUAGGCGGAGUCUAGACCGGUAGUUUGGGCAUGGGAUUUACUUGCUUUGCUUCACGAGGCGAGUCUUCUCACUAUACUUACCUGAGUGGUAAUUUAUGCAUGACCGGAGGGUCUUGAUCAUGUUACUGACCGGAAGGUCUUAUUCGUGUUAUUGACCGGAUGGUCUUAUUUGCUUAUUCUGAGUUAUGUGUUGUUAUGCAUAUUGUCUUUGUGACUUAUGUUGUUAUAUUAUUUUUUUUAUAUGUUGAGCUAUGACCGGAGGGUCCGUACCGAGAUGUGAGACCGGAGGGUCUUCGCUGAGACACAUGACCGAAGGGUUCGUAUCGAGAUAUAGACAUAAGAGGCUAAUUAUUGUAUAUGUGGUAUCUUAGUGACUCAUUAAGCUUCGUGGUUACAGUGUCCGUGGUUCCAUAUGUAAGCACCUAAUCUCAGGGAUUAAGGCAUUUUUUUCAGGAUCCAACCCUUCAAGACGAAAACCUGGCCUCCAUGGAUGAUUAGGAUCCAGUUUACGUGCUUGAGUACCUAGUUUUUGGUUUUUGGUUUUUGGUUUUUGGUGGAGCUUGAGGAAGAAGAAAUAUCAUUUUGGUGCAAAGGACCAGCUUGGAAUCACCAUCUCCUUCAGAUUUAUGAGUUGUGUGAGGUAUAAAGCUCCCAUCUUGACCUUUGUUCUUCUUGAUGCUACUUUAAAUUGGUUUUGUAUGAUUUUGGUCCCUUUAUUGGAAGAUCUUGGAGCCUGAAGAACUCCAGAUCUUGUGAUGGAUUUCUAAGGUCUUUAGGAUUAUGAUGAAUAAUAAAAAGAUUCAUGGUUGGAGUUACUUUGUGUCCAUGUUCGAGGUUUGGCCUCGUUUAGGACUUAAUGGAUUUAGAACUGUAGUUCUUGCCUUGUGGUGGAUAAAGUUGAAAACUUUAUCCAUUAAGUCAUUGAAAAAUGACUAGAUCUAAAGUUAUGGGUUUAGAUCAGGAAGGAUUAAGCUCUUAAUGAAUAAUAUGGCCUUCUUCCGGGAACCACAACGUGGCAAAGGGCAUUUCACAUCGCAGUGGAGUCAUACACGUCAACUGUUUUAUCCUAUUAUGCCUAUGACGUGGACAUGAGGUCUCUACGUCAUGAUGACUAUUUCUCCAUACCGUGGUGAGUGUCUCUCCACGCCGUGGUGAGUGUUGACUUGUUUGACCGUUGAUUGUUGACUUUUAACCAGUUUGAUUUAGGUAAAAAUUAAAGGUAUUGGGCUAUUGAUUAAGGAUCUAUCUUUUUUUGGUGCUAGUUGGUUCAUGGGACCAAUCAGUGCAAGGAAUAAGUGUGUUGUUGAGUUCCUUGGGUUUUCAAUUCACAUAGGAUAACUUCAUAAUUGGUUGGUUAUAUCUCUAGAGUGGGAUUACCUGUUCGAAUGACUAUCUUACCUCUUAUUACAUAUAGUUAUACAUUCCUUGGAGAUUUGUCGGUUGUGGCGUAGUGGUUUUUAUGACACACUAUAUGCGGUAGUGGAUUGUUAGACAUGUAGACUAGUGUAGAUAGUUUCAUGUGUGUAUGUGUUUGUUUAAUUGCUUUUUUGAUCUAUAUGUUACAUAUCGGGUGGUGGGUUGAGGGCUUGAGGCGAUCCCGCUUUAUGCAGUAUGCUGGGAUACCCGGACAAGCUAGUGGUGUGUUGUAGGUCGGGUGCAAACCAGUUGUAUGUUGUAGGUGUGGGAGGGGGACCAAUCGUGGAGUGGAGGCCCAUAAGAGUAGUCCAGGUGUAUUGUAGGCCUCGCGAGGCGGUCCAGUAAGACUGAAGGAUCGUGUGUGUAUGUAUUAUAUGUGUAUUGCGGUGUGUGGUAUUUUGGGGGAACUCACUAAGCUUUGAGUAACAGUUGUGGAUUAAAUGUUUUUAGGUACCAUUGGUGAUCGUGGGAAGGCGAAGACGUGACUGUACACUCAUCAACAACAUUGGAGAUUCCUUAUUUAUUACAUUACUCUGAUUUUCAAACAAAAAAUUGUAUUUUAGAACAGCUGAGUUUUCUUAACCAAGGUUUUAUGAAAAUGAUGUUUUACCUUAAUUAAAAAUGGGAAAACAUUGUUUGUGAAAAUAUGACAUUACAUUUUCAUGAACAAAGGAGCACCAAAUGGGGUCUGGAACAGUCGUCAAAAAACCAACGUUCACGGCGGUGCGUGGCCUACCGACGGCGUGUGAGGGCUAUUUUGGCCCUCAUUUGGGGUUGUUCUCGUCGACGGGAGGUGUUGUUGGAUAUUGGGAAUAUUGGGGGUGGUGUAGGGUUGCAUUUUGGUGGGGGAACGGGGCUUCCACAAUUGUGUUCGACAGCCCUUUUUCUUCGUCGGCAAGGAUACCAGAGAGAGAGAGAGAGAGAGAGGACUAGAAAAAAAGGGGAUUAGAGAGAGGAUGGGUUAGAUAUUGAAUGAAUAAAAAUCAUAUUUUAGGAAGAGUUAAUAGAGAUUUUUGGAGAUUUUGGAGUACAUCUCCAUGAUAUUCCAUGAUUCAUCAUGAUGUCAUCAGUCGUUGCCUUGAGUCUCGUGCCACUCAUCCGAACUCAUUUUCCAAAAGUGUUUUUAGAUUUUAUCAAAUUUGUUGAGUUUAGAAAUUCAAACAAAAUUCAAAUCUGAUACAUGGAACUAUGUGAAAACAACGUUUAAAGUUUCGCGCUUAUAAAGUUCCAAUCUGACUGUUUUCGUGAGUUUGCCUAACUCCAGAUUAAAAAUAUCACAACAAUGAAUUUAUAUAUUUGACCUAAUUUUGAGUUCAAAAACACGCUCGAAAACUAUUUACGAAAUGUGUAGCUAUCCCAACGAAGCAAUACAAUGUUCUAUUCCGAAAAAACCAGUUAAAUACUGAUUUUUCAACCUUAAAAAUGUCUUGACUACUUCGUAUGAACUAUGUUUUCGACAUUCUAUAUAUUCAUGUGGUCGUGAUAACAUAAUCUCUCCAAUCUACUGAUUAAUUGUUCCUAAGUACACUUUAUUUUUAGGUCAUUAACAAUACUUAUCUUUGUGAAUUGUUUUCUGUUUAAUAAUGAUUGUCAACUUUUUGAGCGAUUUGAACUUGAAGUAUUCCAUGCACAAUUAUGAGUAAUAUAACUUCCACUCCAUCCAAAAACAUAGAACACCAUACAAUAUGUCCUAUUAUACUAGAGUUUGUGGUGGUUUGAUCGACGAACUUUACAUUUUUUUACCAAUUGUUACACACGGGUUCAUAUUCACGACUAUUACAACUUUCAUAUAGAUUAUUUAUUCAAAAUAAUAUUUUAACUAUCAACGUUAUUCAACACAAUUUGAUAAGUUUAUAAUAGGGUUUUAUACAAAUAUUAUAUAAUCAUAAUAUUUAUCCAUAUAACUUGUACGUAUUAUAUACAUAUAUACAAAUAACAUUUAUACAAACAUAUAUCAUGUACAACGAAUUAUUAUUUAUUUAUUUAAAAGAAAUUUUAUGUUAUUAGCUUACAUAAAUAAUGUCCUACGAAAUGUUUAUCAAAAAAAUGUGGGCGUUACACCAUACCUCAUAUAUUUUCCAAACUUAUAAAGUUUCUCUACAAUGUUUGGAGCGUAGGCAACUCUCCAGUGGGAAACCAUCUCAGCUUGAUGGUAAAACCUAUCCAUAAAGUAAAUUUCAAUUUCCUCUAGCAUUGUAGGAAGUGGUUUUCUCGUCAUAUUAAUGAUCAUGGCAUUAAAGCACUAUGAUAUACCAUUCUCUAUUGCCUCACAAGGGAGGAUCAACUAGUUAUGGGGCUCUAAGCAAACCAAAAUUUUAGGACCCUUUGACAUUUACUAUACUUAAUGUUAUAAACCCUCAUCUUUUAUCUGGGCUUAGGAUCGACAAUAAUAAACUAAAAAGAUUAUACCGGUUGUCUUGAGAUUUGAGAAUAGAACUAGAAGAUAAAUGGAAAGCUCAAAUCUAGAAAACUGAAAACUCAAAUGCUGAAAUUCGUUCCAACCCGAUUCACUCACUGAUUGUAUAUUUUGUAAAUGUAAUAUGUUGUAAUCAAUGAAAAAUGUCAAUGGAAUAAAAAAUCACAUAACUAAAAAAAUAAAAACUGAAAAGUUAUAAGUAUUAACCUUAAUCAAGUAAUCAGAUGACAACAAAUAAUGGAAAAAUUAAAAACAAAAAGUCAAACAAAUUCCACAUACCGAUUCAGUGACAGCCUUGAAUCACCAGAAUUCAGAAAAUUUUGAACAAUGGAGUUAUCAAAACUUGUGGAGAAGCCAAGAAUGGAUAAGGAAAAGUGUUUCGGUGGUUCAGAUGUUCAAGAAUCGACAAGAAGAAGAGCAUAAUCGCUAAUCAGAGUCCGAUAAUUUUGUGCAGCCCCUGAGAAGAAGAGAACAGUGAUCGUCGCUUGUAGAAGAAGACUAAACAGAUUGUGAGGCGUGUGCAGCGAGCAACGAUUCAAUAGAUAUAGAUUGGAUUGGAUAUUUGGGUUAAGUGGGGCCUCUAUAAGUUGUGUCCCUAAGCCCUAACUUUAUUUAUAAACACAUAAAGUCAACCUUGUUGCCUUAAAAUCAUACCCAUGAGAAAAGAAUGUUUUACACCAAGAAUGUGGAUUAGACAUGAUCCGGUCAUAGCCAGUUUGAGUUAUGUGCUUGAUUUUCUCCAUUAUAGCUAUAAAUUCCCCCUCGACAAUACGGUUGGCAGCUUUCCAAAACAAGUUAUUUAGUUCUAAUCCACUAUAUCUCUUCCCGAAGUUUACAAUGAUGUGUGUAACACAUUGUUUGUGCUUAACAUGUGGAAGUAGUUCUAUAACAGCUUGUAAUAAACGAUGAAAUAUAAAAGGACAAUUAGAUUAUAAAUGCAUACUAAUUACAUUAAGGAUACAUUAAUAUUUACCUUGUGUUGGUAUGAAAAAGUAACAAGACCCCUACCACCACCAAUAUCCAAAUCAACAACUAAAAGUUCAAUAAACCAAGCCCAAUUAUCUUUGUUCUUGACAUCAAUCAUUACCUAUGCUAUUGGAUAUACAUGGUUGUUUGCAUCUCUUUAAAUAUUAGUCAAAAGCUCUCACAUGAUCUGUGUCCCUUGAAGAAACACCCAUCCAAACAUAUUACACGUAUACAACUCAUAUUCCAACCAUCCCUAAAAUCCUUCAAACACACAUAAAACAUUUGGAAAUAGUUCAUGACACUUGUAUUAACUUAUACUCCAACCUUGGAAGUGCUCAUUGGGUUAACCUAAGGAUUUAUGCAACAUAAUCUCAUACCCUUGCAUACUGUUCCUUUAACCUACCUUAUGUCACAUUUCUUGCCUUUCUCAUAUCCAUUUAACAUUUCCUCCUUAUAUACUUGGACUGAAAACCUUAUACGUACAUCUCCAUUCAUCUCAUUCAAUGUCAUAUUAGGCUUCCUAAUUAUAUCCUUCAGGUGAACAGUUGCAACUAACGAAACAUCAAAACUUAUAAUUCCUAGCGCAUUGAUGUAUGUAACAUAUGGAUUUAAUUUGAAUAUGUUUUAAAGGUCUUUGGUGCAAAAUCCCAAAAGGAGAAGUCUACAAGAUCAUCAUCGAAGGCCUCGUCCCUUACAUAAAAAAUUUCCGGCCUUUUGACUUUUUUAGCCCAGACGACAAAGCCAUUUGUUUAAGAUGAAAAUCAGAGGUGUUAGUGACACUAUGGAACUCGAUUAUGGAAGGUAACAACACAAAAUACAUCAAUUUCUCAUUAUCAUCCAUGCACUUUCCUAGUUCCAUGUAUUUCAACUUCAAAAUGGAAGCUUUUGAAUGCAACAAUGGUGUUAGAAACCAUUUUCAAAACCCUUUCCUUCCAAGACCAACUGUGUGAGGUCCUUUUUUAUGCAGACAUUUCUACUAAAAUAUGAUGUUGGAAAGUAUGGAGCGUAUUUUGGAAAGGAUUGUGUUGCAUAACAAUGGUGACUGAUGAGGAGUUUAACGUGUUCUUAACCGCCUAAGGAUUUGAUUUUGAAACAUCAUCUCAAUUAUUAUGGCUAAUUAGAAACGAAAAAUCCAUUUAGGACUAACUUAUAAUCGGAAUGUAAAACUUAUAACUUUUAUGAUAAUAACCAAACUUUGAAAUGCUAAAGACUUACCCUUUGGGACUAGAUUUAUGCAUUUUAAACUCAACGACAGGAUUAAAAUUGUGAUUACCUGAUGUGCGAAUUGUUGCUGUUCUUGCUCCACUAAUUAAAGGCCAUUAACGAAUUGGAUGAGUGAAUAGGUCCAAUGUCAUGUUGUCUCUUUGUAUAAUCAGCGAGAAGAUGCAAUUUAAAAAACGGAAAUGGAUCAAUCAAUAGUAUUUGACCAUUAAUGUGUGCACACUGCAUAACCAUCAUUUGUGUCCAUUGCGUAUAAUCCAUAGCAAAUCCUACUGCAGAUCUGGAAGAUGUCUCCAUGGAUUUUAUUACGCAUCAUCGUCUUCAAGACAAGGUGUAGUAAAUGGCUAUGGUCUAACCAGUUUUACCACUUCAAUGCGAUACUGCUUCAAUAUAUGCGUUAUUGUCGCAAAAACAGAGGAUAAUGAAUACUUACAGUGAAAACAAAUCAAAUUUUGGAAUCGGAUACAAUUAAAAAAAAAAACUUUUGGAUUCGAUCUGUGGGUUUAAAGAAAUGCAAUUGGUAAAAAAAACACAUGUGUUAGAUACGAAAUAAUGCACAAAUUUGAUCAAAAUCCGUACGUUUAAUUUCAAUACGAGCUCUUACAUGACAAAGUUGAAACAUUUUUAAGUCGAUCUGUCUUUACAAUGAGUAAAAUAAAACCCUAAACCCAAAAUCUAAGAACUGGUAAAUUUUGUUACAGCCUUCGUCCCCUCAGAAACAGCAUGCUUUGCCAACUCUCCGGGCAAAACCAACCUCACAGCGGUCUGAAUUUCUCUGGAAGUGAUCGUGGGCUUCUUGUUGUACCUCGCAAGUUUCGAAGAUUCCUGAGCAAGCUUCUCGAAGAUGUCGUUGAUGAACGAGUUCAUAAUCCCCAUGGCCUUGCUUGAGAUACCGAUGUCAGGAUGAACCUGCUUCAAAACCUUGAAGAUGUAGAUCUUGUAUGUCUCCACGUUCUUCUUGCUUCUCUUCUUCUUCUUAUCGGUGGCACCGGCGCCGGCUUCCUUGGGAAGCUUCUUUCCGGCCUUUGGCUUUUUCUCGGCAGGGGAUUUUUCAGCUACGGCGGCUUUCUUCUCCUCCGCUGGCUUCUUCUCGGCUGGCUUCUUCUCUGCUUUGGGCGCCAUUGAAGGGAUUUUGUUUUGUAAAGAGGGAAUUUGAUGUUUAAAGAGAAAGAGAGAGAUGGUUGAAACGUGAGAUGAUGAAAAUGAAGGAAGAAUUUGUUGUGUUUAUAUGAGGAUUGAGAGGCGUUGUCUGAUUGGUUGAUUUUAGAUGUCCCGGAUUGUGCAUAGAGACCGUUGAUAUGUUCUGGUCCAUGGUUUUGCUUCAAGGGACGUGAUUUAAUUUGAGAAGUGAGUUUUUGUUGGCUUGACGCACGACGCGGAUCAACAUUUUGGCCCAUAUCCUAUUUUUCUUUAAUUUUUUUUAGGAAAUUACAAUAUAUUUAUUUAUACUGUAUUAUAAAAUAAAUUUGCUUUUUUAAAAUAGAUUAAAUAUAUCCAUACCCGACCCUUUUAAAUAAAGGGUUAGCGGAUACGGGUCGUUAACGGGUAAACGGAUCAAAUAAAAAAUUAUGCUCCAAACUCGUAUAAUUGAUAAGGGUUUGGAUUGAAUCAGGAUCAAAAUCCGCUCCGUUGUCAGACCUAUGUGUUUGACUUGUCGGAUGGUCAAGGCCAACCACCAGAGGUCGCAUGGCAAGCUGCAGUCAUUGGAGGUUCUCAUGUGGAAAUGGAAACAUAUCACUAUGGAUUUCAUCACCAAGUUACCUCGAACGGCUAAUGGAUUCGACGCGAUAUGGUUUAUCGUUGACCGUGUGACCAAUAGCACUCGCUUUUUGUCCAUUCGAGAAAGUUUUGCGGCCGAAAAAAUAGUCGGUUUGUAUGUGCGCGAUAUUGUUGCUUGACAUGGUAUUCUAGUCUCCAUUGUAUCUGAUCGAGAUGUUCGGUUCACAUCUCGUUUUUGGAAGAAGUUCCACCAUGAACUGGGUACGCGAUUGCAUCUUAGCAUUGAGUAUCAUCCGCAAACUGAUCGAGAUGUUCGGUUCACAAUAAUCCAGUCAUACAUAACCUACAUAUUAGAACCAAAAUUGAUUAAUACAAUAAAUUUCAAUAGAUCGCUCAAGCUAACAAUCGAAACAACAAAGAAACAAAACAUAAUAGAUUAUGAUGACACCAACGAAUGUUGCACCAUACUAAACUGAAGAACUGAUAACUGAAACCCCCAAUUUGGGAAAUCCAUAUGUCUCAUACCGUCCAUCCAAAAACUGCCAAGCCAAAGGUGCCACAUCCAAAACCGCACUAUCUGCUCCUAACGGACAAGCAGAAUCAACAUGUUCUGGCUGACUGCAAAAUAAACAUACAUUCGACUUCCCCGACUAUAAUCGCGAUUAAAAUGACCCUCAUGAUCGCGCCUAAAACAUGCAGAAACAAAAACGCAUCAAAUAUCCCAAUGAAUCUGACCACACUCCCCAUACAACCUGUGGGUCUCUCGAUCUCCUGCCCGAAAGCCCGCCACCCCAGCCUUUUUGGUUGUCGUUGCAAAUGCAUGAACUUGAUCCUGCUUUCUCUUCUGUUGCUGAAUCUCCAACUACAACUCUCUCUCCCAGGCCGCCUCCACCAAACUAGAGAGAGUCUUAUGACUCGAGAUACACACACGUUCCCAAAUUGAGAUUUUAAUCAUCUUUAGUCAAGGAUAAGAAAUUAUAGUUUAUUUCAAUUCUAAAAGCUUAGAUUGAGAUUUUAAUCAUCUUUAGUCAAGGAUAUAUAUAUAUAUANNNNNNNNNNNNNNNNNNNNNNNNNNNNNNNNNNNNNNNNNNNNNNNNNNNNNNNNNNAUGAAUUUUAUGUUAGAAUGGCUCAACAUAAGGAAAUUCCAUAAAUAUUACGUUCUCAAAAUUCGAUUAUGAUUACGGCAUCCCUCUUCAUAGUCAAAUUAUGAAAACAUGGAAAAUAAAAAAAAAUAUUGUAGCAGAAGACUGGUCUAGGAUCAUGUCUUCAUGUGAGACAUCAUGAAUCGUGCCCCAUAUGCUUCGGAUAUAGGAUCGAUUACAUGUGCUAUAAUAUUUAUACCUUCUAAAUUUUCCAAAUGCCUAUGGCAUUAAGAGGGGCAAAGGUCUAGAAUUGGAUAUGACUAAAAUGAUUAAGCAAUUGUUGAGGAUAAUCUGAGGUUUACCAGAGAUUGGUUGCUCAUGGACAGUUGGAAGUAUGGUGUUAAAUUUUGGAGAGGAACCAUAUUGACAUGUUCUGAAAAGAGGCGACUCUUGUUUAGAAGUGAUAGUCAAAACGGGAAUAUGGAAAUGUUUUUCCAUAUUGGGAGUUGGAUAUUAAGAAACUAUGAGAAAGUUAGAAACUUUAAUUAAAGAAGGAUGUUCAAAGGAAUGUACUUUGAACUUGAGAUUUCGUCACCUUGGAAUUGUCGUGUAACAAUUUCCAGUUGAAUCUAUUGUAAUAGUGUUGGUCAAGUCUUUGUGACUCUUGGUGCCUAGACAUUACAUAACAAUAUUGCAUAAUAGUGUAUAAUCUAACACAUUUGAGCAGUGAUAAGAGUUUGGAAUUCUUACACUUACAAUAAAGAUUUGGUAUUGUGAAAUGAGCAUCAUUGGAAUCAUGUUCAAUUGAUAUAUUUCACAAAGUAAGGAUCGUAGACAAACAUAGUGUGCAUACUUGGAGUAUGGCAUAACUAUCGUUUACGAAAACAUGGUGUACAUGCUUGGAGCAUGGGACAACUGUUGUUUUAAUUCAAGUAUUAAGUUGAUUAUUUGAAACAUUAUGCAAUGAAUAAUGUGUAAUCAAUAUGGUGAUAAAUAAAAGGUGUUCUAUUUAUAUUCAUAAGUUUUGAGACCACAUUAGAUUCGAUUAUUCUUAUGUUUCCCUUUCAAUGUUUUGACUUCCAUAAUAGUUGGGUUAUUCUUUCCGGAUGACCAAGUUAUUUAAAUCCUCCACAGUCAGUCAUAUGUUGGAAGUAGGUAUGAAUCAAGAUUGUAAUGAAUUGGGCUUGUAGAUGUCUAAGAUGUUAGACAUAGUAAAAGUUGCUACAACAUUCAUGAGUGCUCAUAAGUUAUGAGUAUUGUAUUAAACCCACAAUCACUUGUAUCACUUCAUAGAAUUUAUCUCAAGUGACUGUAAGACGGUAAUAUCAUAUAAGUCUUCAAAACUAGAGAUACAAGUUGUUGCUUAUGAGUUGGUUGUACAUUGAUUGCGCGAAAACACAUCAUUAACUUGAUGUUAUAAAAUGUGUCUUUUGUAUAAAUAAACAAGUAGUAGAGCAAACAUAUGAGUCGAAGUUUAUCUGUUCCUUUUAGUCCUUGGAGGAUUAGAAGCGAUAUAUGGGCCCCUCGAUGAUUUUGUUUUGACCUAUGUAUCGGGCCCGGUCAGAACCAAAUUGAUGUGUUCAGUUUAGGUCUAUGUCAAACAAAUCGGAAAUCAGGAAACAAACUGCUGGACAAUAAGUAUGACGUUGUUCCAUGUAUUUGUCCGGCUGAUAUCUAGAACAGAGGAUUAUAUGAUCACUUAUCUAAAACGGCGCUUCGUAGUUCAAGAAAGUUUUAAGAGCUACGAUUCAUGGUCGGAUCCUGAAGUCAUGCUUGCAACCGUAGUUAUUAAAUUUAUCCAAGUGGGAGACUGUUGGAUAAAGUGUCUAAGUCCAUAACUAUAUUUGAGAUGUACUUGACCGACCCAACAUGGUCCAUUUGGGUUGCACUUCACCAUAACAAUUUGGAUAGUCUUUUGAGAAUAGUAUAGUUAUGAUUUGUUAAUAUAUUAUAAGUUAUAAUAUAUUAAUAUGAAAUCAUAUUAUUUAAUUAGUAUUGAUCUAUAAUUAAUUUGGAAUUAAUCUAGUGAUCAAAAGGUAACUAAUUAAAUAUGGACUCUUAUAUUUAUAUAAAGUGGGUUAAUGCUUGUUUAGAAUGGGUUAAGCUUGCUUGGAAAGUCCAUGGAUAGUCCAUGGAGCUUUAACCCAUGGAUCUUAUGGAAAUGAAAGGUCAUGGGUAUUAGGGUUUACAUGGAUGUAACCCUAAUCCACCACACUAUAUAAAUAGGUCCUUGGCACAUGAAAUGACACUAGUGUAACGCCCGUGUUUCUGGGCUUGCCAUUUUUAGCAAUGUAAUAGUCUAGUUAACCUUUGUAACCUAAUUUGAAAUAAUAAGAACAUAUCAUUUGAGUAUUAUGUGUUUCGUGCUUAAUUGCUUAAUUAUGUGAUAUGAUGAAUUAAGAAUAAAAUGAGCGUCAGAAUUUAAGUGUAAAAUAAACUUGAUAUCAUUGGAUAAUGUUGUAGUAGUUGAAACGAGGUUUCCGAAUAUAUAUAGAACUCCCAAAUCUGACUUCGUAUGAGGAAGUUAUGAUUUUCUGAAGUUUCGAUUGGGCAGUAUGCAGCUUGAAUACUCGAUUUGAGAUCGAGCGGUUUUUAGCCGAAACAAUCUAAACGAGAAUCGAAGAUCUCGUUGUUAGUAGCGAAACGAUGAAAAGUUAGGCAAGAACGGACGUCGGACGAAGAAGUUAUGAAUUUAUAACAAAGUUUUUCUGUCCCGGCCUACUAAAAAUAAAUAAUAAAAAUAAAGUCAAAAUUAGCCGACGGAGUCUAAACAAAAGUUGUAGAGCGUAGUCUCACCUACGCGUGGAUAUAAAGAACGUCGAAAAUGGAGUUCGUAUGAGGGAGAUAUGAAUUUUCAAAGUUUAUUAGAUAUUUAAUAUUUAAUUUUAAUUCAAACUUCCGAUAUUAUCCGAAGAGGAGUCAGCGGACUCAUCCGAAGUACGCCCAGCGUGACGAAGUCUAGCACUCGAGUACCUCCGAUGAUGCAGGCAAUGACGAUUUGGCAGUACGCCCCGCGUACCCCGAAGUUAUGCCCAGCGUAACCCCGAGGAUCAACCCUAUAAAAGGGGAUGCGAAGCCAGCUUCUUUCCUUUUCAAAUUUCUUCAUUUUUCUCUCAUCUUUUGCCUCGUUUUGCGUGUCGUUUAUGUUGGGUUUUGAGCAUUCUAACACUCCUAAGUGUACAUGCAACCCUAAAUACCUUGGAUCUAUGUUUUAUCUAUUAUACAUGCAAAUAUGAACAUCCAAGGUAUUAUCCUAAUCUAAGCUAUAAAACAUUGAAUAUAACAAGAUAGAAUACAUACCUAUUUGAUGUAGAAUGUCUUCAUGAAGCUUGAGUGCCUAGUGCCCCAAGUGUGACACCUCAAAUGGUUCACACAACACCGAAUACAAAUGGAAUGACUUGAGAGAACUUCACACUUCAUGAAAAUCGGCUAGCCCUUUCUUGCUCUCACUAGUGGCCGGUUUUGUCAAGAAUAAGAUAUUUAUAUAGAGUUACAAUUAGGGUAAACCCUAAUUGUCAUGACUUUCCAUUUCCUUGGAUCCAUGGGUACAAAUACACCAUGGAGCAUCCAUGGACCAUCCUAUGGGUUUUAGCCCAACUUGAUUAUCCAUGGAGCAUUAGCCCACUAUACAAGUAUGGAUGAUUUACACAAUCAACCCAUAUAUUUAAUUAGUCUUCUUUUGAUCACUUAAUUAAUCCUAGAUUAAUUCUUGAUCAAUACUAAUUAAAUAAUCUUAUUAUUCUUAUUAUUAAUAUACUAGAACUUAUAAUAUAUUAAUAACCAUAAGUGUAUUAUUUCUCCCAUUAUAGUCUAUCCAAGUGCAUGAUGCCAUGCAACCCAAAUGGACCAUGCCGGGUUGGCUCAAGUCUUACCAAUUAUAGUUAUGGACUUAGACAUUAAUCCAACAAUUUAUACCCCGAAGCCCCGAUAAUAUUCCCGAGCCCCGAAGCAAGAUCCGAAGCCCUGAGAAUCCCAAAGAGCGUUAUUCCCGAGCCGAAGCCCUGCCCGCGAGGAGCCCGGUUUUUGUGAAGAUCUUCCAGAUCUACGGAGAAACAUUACUUCUGCAAGCCGUAGUGCUGCCCGUUCAUCUUCUGAUCAAGUGAGUGUGUAGUCAUUUUCUUCCAUCACAAUAUUAUGAAGUAUUUUAUAUAAAAUACGUGCUACGUGUAUAUAUUUUGUUGUUAUAUGUGUGAAUGUAUAUUCACUUUCUUCUAUCUCAUAGAUCUGAUUUAUUAUCUAUGAAAUACGUGUUAUGUGUGUAUGCUUCAUCUGUUAUGUGGAAUAUGUAUUGAUUAAAGCAUGUUAUACAGGUUCUUAAACUAUGUAUAAAAAUGUAUAUUUUUAUCUACUAAUGUGUUGGGUAGAACAUGGGUAGAUAGUUGGUGUGUAAUAAACAGAUGAGAGGCCUCGAUGUUGUUGGUGUUAUUCUAGUCAUUCAGUAGAGUAUGGAUGACGAUCACGGACUAUUCUAGACUGUCCUGUGGAACACUAGCAGACUCAUAACCUGUAGGUGUUGUGAACGACGUGUUCACCGGUGUGCUCUAUCCCCCUCAUGGUUGCCUUUAGGAUAUUUAUUGCUAAGGAAUCCCCUUUGCAGUAAUGUCCGUCCCGAUGAAAAAUCCUAGAUUAGGUCCCUUAUAAUAGAUGUUGUUUUAGGGACGUAAAGUGAGGAUAACGGGAAUGGGUAAUCAGGUUUAUUGUUGAUUGUUAAAUUAAAUAUUUUUUGUGGGUUGAAAACCCUAUAUGCUCACCAGGCUCCCAAGCCUGACCCACUCAGCUUAUUUGUAUUACAGGAAGUGGCGCAAGAGCUUAAGAUGGACGAAUCAUCAAGUUGUUUUGUUUACAAGUCUGUAUAUGUAUACAUUGUUGAAUGACUUGUAAUGUUAUCGUUUAUGCUUUAUGAUUUGUAUCGGAACAUGACAUCCCGACUCUUGAUUAUGAAAUGAAAUCAUAUUCCUUGUGAAAUGUUUGGAUAAAUAUCUAUUUUAUCAUGUUUUGUUUUUGGGAACAAAUUCCGCAUCUCUUUCAAAAUUAAAAAGGAUUUACUCUGAAAAUGUUUAAAAAACAUAAAUGAAAUUGGUCUUUUUUGGCCGAGAUUUUGGAGAUGUCACAACUAGUGUGUGAGAAAAACCAAUGGUGGGCCGAUUUCUAAGUGUGCAUACUAUUCUAUCAAGUUUUCCAAGUUGUGUAGUGAUUUGUGAUUCCAUUUGAGGCAUCCACAUUAUUGGUGUUAGGAUCUCAAAACUCCAAGCAAUCAACCACAAGAAAAUGUAUGUUAUUCUACUAGUCUUUUAUGCUACAAGUACCCCUUGUCAUGUUAGUUAGGAUGAGAACUUUGGAAAAUUCUUAUUUGCAUGUAUUUUAGAAAAAAUAUAGAUUCAAGUUUUCUAGGGUUGCAUGUACAUCAUAGGAGUGUUAGAAUACUCAAAACCCAUGAUGUACAUCGUAAGUCCUGUAGUUAUAACCAGAGUCUCCUGGAGGGAGAGCGAGAUAUUAUGUAUAGAUCUAUACGGGGUUGACAUCCCCCACGCCUGAGUUGUUCGCUACAACUAGGCAGGCCAAUUUAGGGUGACAAUUAUCUUUAGAAACUGACGCCUGAAGAACGUCAAGACAGGCGCUCUCGUCACAUUAGUAUGGUUUCAACAACUCACAUAGAGAAUAACAAUAUUAUUUUAAAAUUUACACAAAACAUACACUCAACAUGUUUUACAAAGUAUAAAACUAUGUGCUGACUAUUUUGCAUUAAUCUCACCACUUUGGUCUUAGGGUUUUAAGGCCACAAUAUUUCGUAUAACAGAAAAUAUAGGAUUUUCUGUAGACACUCUCUAUAAAAUUUUCAAACAAGGUAAAGAAAGUAUACACAUGAUUUGGAACAAGACUCUCAAACUAUUAUUACAAAAAAUACUGGAGUUUCUGGAAUUUACAAACUAUUACAAAGUUUUUCUUACAAAAAUGCUUAUGAACUCACCAACAUUUUAUAUGUUGACGCUUUUCAAAAUGACUUGUAUUCUCAGGAACACAGUGAGCAGGUUUUUCAGCAGUGGACAUUGACAUUUGUCUUAUUUUUGGAUUAUCAUACAUUAUGUUAUUUUGGAUGUAUUUCCAUGAACAAACACAAAGAUGUAAACAAUGCAUGUUGAUAUCGUUAAUGUAUGAUGAUGAUGGUUGCUAUGUUUCAUUCAUAUUCAAUUGUUAUGAUAUUACAAGAUGAAGUCACCCGCCCCCGGACGUUGUCGCCGUCCCGGUUCGGGGGUGUGACAUUGUAAAGGAAAACCCUAAUUUUUAGGGGCUGCACCCUAUUUAAAUAACAUAAUCCGCCUCUUGUGGACUCCCUUACCACCCUGAUAGCCAUAGAAAACCCUAAUUAGACCUUGCACCUUCUUGAGUGAGAGAAAGAGCUUUUGUGAGCAUUUUUGGUGUGUUUGUGAAAGAUUUCAAAGCCUGGAGAAGAAGGAGCAAGGAGAGAAGCAAUAGAUCCGACAUCUACACUGUAUUGGCCACCAUCGUGAGGUAUAAAGUCGUUACCUUGAGCUCUAGUUGGUUAGAUCCCUUUUCUUGGAAGUAGAUGGCCAUUUUUGGUGCAAAGUAGGGUCAUACUCGAAUCUGGACUUAUCAAAAGGAUAUGGUUCCAGAUAUGGACCUCUAAAGGUCCCUAAUGACAUAAAGUUGCUCACUUUAUCUGGCUUAGGCCUAUCCAUGCACAAGAACAUUGUAAGAAGCUUAGUUUUGAUGCUUUAGCCUUGUAAGGCCUUGCAUUCACGUAAAGUUUGCAACUUUACGUGGUAACUACACUAGGGAAUAGUGGAUCUGGAGUUUGGGACCUUAGAUCCCAUUGAAAAGGGCUGAACACAAAAGGGACUGAAGGAACUCGUCAAGUCCCUUAGUUGACUCGACGAGUUGGGUAGGGUUUACCCGUUUUUUAGAUUCAGAAUGAGUGCAGUGAAGGAUUAGGGUUUGGGGACUGCAUGAGCUUUUAGUUUAGUGGACAUUUGAUGAACUCAAUGAGUCACUUAGGUGACUCGACGAGUUAACAUAGGAUUUAGUGGAAUGGACUCGGAUGAACUCGACGAGUUGCUAGGAUGCACUCAACGAGUUGAGGUCAACAUGAAUUGUUGACCUUAACCGUUGACCUUGACUUUGACCACGGUUGACUUUAAAAGUAUUUACGGGAUUAUGACAAGUUAAUCAUAUGUUGAUUAUAGGCAGUUGAAGAGGAGGAGUGCGUGAGAUAUAUCUGAUCUUAGCUUGUCAGUUCAGCACUCGAGAGGCGAGUCUCCUCACCAUAUCAAUAGAUCUAAGGCACCAAGGGCGGUCUAUUAUUGUUAUGAGUUAUGAUUAGUUGGUUGUGGGAUAUGUGAUAUGCUAGUUAUUUGUGAUACUCACAUGAAAGACCUCGAGGUGUUCCCAAGGCACUUAUAUGUAAUACCUUAAAGGGUUUCCAUGGCCUUCUAGUAUAUUUGUUUGUGUAGUUUGUAUGUUCGUACUCGAUUGUAAAGACCGUGUGGGGGUUCCUACGAUAGGAAGACCAUGUGGGGGUUCUCAUGGCAGUUAGUUAAGACCAUGUGGGGGUUUCCAUGGCAGUUAGUUAAGACCACGUAGGGAUUCCAGUGGCACUAGGUGUAAGACCCUAGAGGGUUUCCAUGGCUUCCUUAUAUGUUCGUAUUCAUGGCUUAUAUAUGUAGCUUUUAUAGCUAAUAUGAUAUGUGUUAUGUGGAUUGUGUGUGAGGUAUGCUCUCGGGAACUCACUAAGCAUUAGCUUACAGUUUUUGGAUUUGUUUCAGGUACAUCCGAGCCAAAGGGCAAGGGCAAGGCUUGAUGGCGCGACGUGCACUCUCUCUCAGGCGUUAUUAUGGGACACUCUAAUGUUUUGAAAUAAAAUUGUUGUUAUCACGAAUUUGAAAACAAUUGUAUUGGGAUUUCAGGAUUUGUGGAAAGUAUUUUGGUAAAUUAAAAAUGAAAAUUUUCUUUUGAAAAAUUGGGUUGUUACAUAUUACAUAGUUAGUUGAUGUAAACCUGAGCUUAGCAUGGGACUCUUAACACUCUCCCACUUCGUGCUUCAUUUUUUUCCAACGGAUAUAUGGAUCGUAAACCCUAUACUCUACACUCACUUUAACAAUAUUUCCUCCAUCGAUGUGAUCAUGAAAUGAGUCAUGGACACCAUUUUUGUUAUCAACAUUUCCCAUUCCAUAAAAAGUCCUACUUAAUAUAUUUUCAUCAUAUAUUAUGUUAACGACUGGUUCAUUGUAGAGUUUUAAAUAAUUUUUAAAGGUAUCUUGUGUAAAAUCCCCGAAUGAGAAGUCUACAAUAUCAUCAUCAAAGUCCUCGUCCCUUACAUAAAUAUUUUCAGAACCUUUGACUUUUUUAGCCCAAAUGAAAAAAUAAAGGUGUUAGUGACACUACAAAACUCGAUUAUGGAAGGUAACAACAUGCAAACACAUCAAUUUCUCAUUAUCGUCUAUGUACCUUUAUAGUGCAAUGUAUUUCAACUUCAAAAUGGAAGAUUUUACAUGCAACAAUGGUGUUAUAAACCAUUUUCAAAACCCUCGUCUUCCCGAUAUCAACUGCAUGAUGUCCUUUUUAAUGCAAAUGCUUAUGCUAAAAGACAAUGUUGAAGAGUACGAAGCAUAUUUUGAAAAUGAUUGUAGUGUAUAACACUCGUGACCAAUGAGGAGUUUAAUUUGUUCUUAACCGGCUAAGGAUUUGAUCAUCAUCUUAAUUAUUAAGGCUAAUUAGAAACAAAAAAUUCAUUUAUGACUGAUUUCUAAUCGCAAUGUAAAGCUUAUAAUUUUUAAGAAAAAACGGCAAGAUUGGUCUCUCUGGUAUUCAAAAAACAUCAAAAAUGUUUUCCGCUUGUAUAGAAAGUCCAAAAUCAAGAUUUUCAUAUGGUUUUGGUCCCAGUAAAAUUGAAAAGAACAAUUAUGCCCUUUCUAAUUUAUGUUUUCCAUUUUUUAUCUUUAUGUUAAUACUUUUUUAAUUUAAAAAAAAGGGAACCAGCUAACCCACCCAUCUCUCUCUCGUGUGUGUGUGUGUGUUUGUAUCUAAAUGGGUGCUCCUAAAACCAUUAGAACACAUCAAGCUUUUCAUCUCCCUUCCCUCCCUCUCACCAGAAAAACUUUAAUUAUGAGUUAAUAAGAAGCACUUUAAUGGUGUUAUCUAAGUUAUAGAGGAAAUAAAUAUGUGAUUGUUGAUUUGUUUUCUUCUGUUUCGUAUUUGUUCUGGAGUCCGAUAAUCAAAGGCAUCUGUGUGUAUGUCUAUGUUUUAAUCUACUGUAUGUAUGUGUGUGUUAAAUACAGUCGAUUGAUCCCCUUAAUCAGAGGGUGCCUAGUCGAUUUAUCCCAUAAUUUGAACCCUAAAACGCAAUUUCCUCCAAGACUUAUUUGGUUUGUGGGCAAGCUAAAGGGGGUGCUGAGAAGUGAUAUCCAUGAAUGCUUCUGCAAAAACAAUUCCUUCGCCAUUAUAAUCAACCGGAAGAGAAUCUAUGGAACUUUUGAUCACCGAUAUUGGAGAGAUAAAGAAUGUGAUUUGGGGUGGGGUGGGGCUGUUGGGUUUGAUCAAACUUGACUACUUCUGUGAUACUUGAUAACACCCGAUUCCCUUUCAACAACCCACCACCCCAUUAUCUUACCCACAAAUGGAUUUAAAGAAACCUCGAUACUGAAUAGAUUCACUCUCGAAGAAACCCAAAUUGAUUAUGUUCGAAAGGAUACCACAUACCAGACCCAUUUAGAAGUCGGUGCUUCCUCAAAUAUUGUUGUAUUUGACCAAUUCGAUUGGUGGGUGCAGUUUUGUAUCUUUGAUUCAUAUAUUACAUGGGUUUCCUUUCUUUUGGAGAAUCGUGGUGGAUGCCAAAAAAAAACCGGAAUGGAUCAAUCAACAGUAUUUGAUCAUGAAUGUGUGCAUAACUAUCAUUUGGCUCCAUGGCGAAUUGCAUCGGUGUAUAAGUAAAUGCUUUCGUUUAACCAGCAUUGCAAUUUCAUUCAGAUGCUACUUCAAAGGAUGCGCUAUUGUUGAAAAGACAGAGAUCGGUUAACAGUUACAGUGAAAACUGAUCAGAUUUCGGAAUCGGAUACAAUCGAAAAGGAGAAAACCUAUGAAUUCGAACUGUGGGUUUAAAGAAAUGCAAUCGGUAAACAAUACAUGUUUUAGGUACAAAAUAAUGAACAAACGUGGGCAAAAUCAAUACGUUUAAUUUCAAUACGAGCUAUUACAUGACAAAGAUAACAUUUUUAAGUCGAUCUCUCUUUACAAUGAGUAAAAUAAAACCCUAAACCCAAAAUCUAAGAACUGGUAAAUUUUGUUACAGCUUUCGUUCCCUCAGAAACAGCAUGCUUUGCCAACUCUCCAGGCAAAACCAAUCUCACCGCCGUCUGAAUUUCCCUGGAGGUGAUCGUGGGCUUCUUGUUGUACCUCGCAAGUUUCGAAGAUUCCUGAGCAAGCUUCUCGAAGAUGUCGUUGAUGAACGAGUUCAUAAUCCCCAUGGCCUUGCUUG
RNAcentral lists this long non-coding RNA (21267 nucleotides) under Lactuca sativa (garden lettuce). RNAcentral's name for it is "long non-coding RNA (LSAT_LNC000309)". Lineage: Eukaryota; Viridiplantae; Streptophyta; Magnoliopsida; Asterales; Asteraceae. The record is from RNAcentral.